Tuber borchii (whitish truffle) is the source of this 84-nucleotide non-coding RNA. NCBI's taxonomy places the organism in Eukaryota, Fungi, Ascomycota, Pezizomycetes, Pezizales, Tuberaceae. The record is from the annotation of a GenBank genome assembly.
UAUUUGGUAGUCUAGUCGUUAGUAUUUCCGCCUGUCAAAUAACUUUGAGGGUGGACGACCGAGGUUCAAUUCCCUACUAAAGAG